Long non-coding RNA from Marmota monax (woodchuck), 1124 nucleotides. RefSeq lists it as uncharacterized. The transcript has 3 exons. Lineage: Eukaryota; Metazoa; Chordata; Mammalia; Rodentia; Sciuridae. The record is from RefSeq and is a predicted model, not a curated record.
UGGUUCAUGGUUCUGAAGGCUUGUAAAGUCCAAGUUCAGUUGCAUCUGAUUGGCUUCUGGUGAAAGUUUCUGGUGAAAGCUGCUUCAUGCAAGGCAGAAAAGUGGAAGGACAAACGGGCAUGUGCAGAAGAGCCAAAGCAUAAGGGGUACUCUUGCUAUACAAGAAUCUGCUCUUGAGGUAACCAUUCCAGUUCUACAAAGCAGGAUAUCUCUCCCACCAGAGGAAUUUAAUCUAGUAAUGAGGAUUUUGUCUCCUGACCAGAACACCUUCCGUGAUACUCCACAUUCUAACCCUGCUGCAUUGAGGACUUAAGUCUCAACAAGAGUUUUUGGUGGAGGCAAACCAUCUUAAAACCAUGGCAACAGCCCCAUGGAGGGAGGUCCUUGAGACAAGGAACUGUAGCCUCUUGCCAACCGCCACAUGAGUGAGCUUGGAAAGGACCCUCCAGUCCCAGUCAAGCCCAGAUGACUGCAUCCUUGGUGGACACUUGAUAGAGGCUAAUGAAAGACCCUGAGCCAGGACUCUUCAGCUGAGCUGCUCCAGGACUCCUGAAAUUAUCCGUUUUCAUCAGUUUGCCUACUGUUUAUCAAUUGUACUUAUCUCUUCAAAGAACUAAAUAUGGAAACACCUGUGGAGCAACCAGAAACCAACACAAAAGACCAGUCCAACUGGACCUGAAGCUGGAAGCCCCAUAGAACAUAGCCUGGAUGAACCAACUCACAGCCAACCUGCAGACCAGGAAUAGGAAGAGAUGAUGGGGUUUGGGGAUAGUUUUUUAAGCAGCUGUAUAUGACUAACUGAUAGAGCUCAUGGGUUUAUAUAGCAAAUUGAUAGAGUUUAUACAUUUUAUUUAACCAACUCCCUACAGAUAGACAAAUUGAAUUAUUCCAAGAAAAGUUUGGUUCAUUUUAAAAAACAUUUCUAUAAGAUCUAUUUCUAGAAGAAUUGCAUCAAAGAGUUGUACUCUUAAACUUUGAAAACAUAUUACUCAAUUAUGCUCACCAAAGCUAUGCCGAUUCACGUUCUUAUCAUCAGUUUAUAAGCAUUUAUUUUUCCUCCUAUCUUCCAACACCGAAUAUUAAAAUAUUUGAUUAUCAAUCUAAUAAAUGAAAUAUAAUAUCUA